CCGUUCUUCGUUUUGUGGGUUAACAAUGGUGGUGGUGGUGGUGAUGUCGAUAACCAUCCUGAGUUCCAGCUACAGCUGCAGAGGUUCGAUUCUGAUGAAGGCCAACGCCACGUUGGGUAGCGUGAUGACGACCGAGUUGAUCAUCAAGCACGAUAUAACUCGGUAUCUCAUAUUCAAGGGUGCCACCGCAGUGACAGGUGCGACUGCGGACCCAAACAUCGUGACAUGUGGCAAUGGCGCCGGAAACACGUUUUCCGGCUGCGGUGGUAAUGCUAAUAAUACACAACAGUGCAAUGCAUACCAAGGACCUAACGCUUGCUUAUAAUCCCUUCAGUUCCAUAUUAAUAUGAUCACUAUGACUCUGCGCAGUUUCUAUGUCAUCGUGUAAUCCCCUGUUUUUUAUGAUCCUCUGUUCUUCUUUCUAUUUCUCUUUGAAGUGGAGUUUGUUUGUUUGAUGCUUUCAUUAACAAUGUAUUUGGUGCUUUGUUGUUUGUUUUUGUGAAAUAAGAACUAAAUCAAAUCACUUUUCUUCUUCUCUCUCUUGUUCAAUCCAUUGAUCCUCUAAGUAUUUUCGUAAUAAAGAUUAAAUUGUUACCGUCUACAAACUUAUAAUCUUUAUUGUUAUAUACGUAUGGUUAAGUUUUGAGUUUGAUUUCGAUUUGAUCUCUAAUUUUCAAAAUGUUGUAUUUUAAUAUUGAUAUUUGAAUUUUAUUUUAAUUUGGUCCAUAGAAUAUUUACAUUUGUCAUCUCAACUUUUCACUUAUUAAUAAUGUAUGUUAAUAAAUUUAGAAUAAUUAAAAGAAAUAUAAUGAACUAGAAUUCACUUUUUUCCUUCCUUUUAAAAUUAAUUUAGAAUUUUACGUCUUAAUUAUUUUAAAUUAAUUAGAAAACAUUAACGUCCAUCAUUCUAAAUGAGUAUUUAUUAAAAAAAAGAAAUAAAAAUAUAAAAUAUUAAAUUCUGAAAACCAAAUUGAAACAAAGUUCAAAUCUUAAAAUUUAAAACGUAACAUUUCACUCAAUAGAAACUAAACUUAAAAUCUAUAUAUAAAAUACUUAUUAUCUGACUGAACACCAAAUAUAAAUUAAAAGUCAAUUUUAAAUUUUUAAGAAUUUGAAAAUGAAAUAGAUUCAAACGUAAAAAUUUUAAUUUUACAAAUAUUUUAUUUUAGAAAAAAAUAUCAUUUUACAAGUAUGAAUUUUUCCAAUUCUAUCUGUAUAAACUUUAAAUUAAUAAAAUUUAUAAUCCAUUUUAAUAGUAAUUUUAUUAACCCAUUAUUUGAAAAGUAUGCACAGGAGCUAUAAUUGAAUGCAAUAUGGCAACUUUUAAAUGUAAUAUAAUCAUGAUAAAAGAUUUAGAUUAUUCACUUAUAACACUUUAGAAAUUUAAUUAAAAAGUUUAAUAUUUAAAUUAAUGAUUGGUUGUAUUAAUUGAAAACUUUAACUUUAUUUUUAUUACAUCAAAUUGCACUAAUAAAGUAGUGAAAGUUAGGAAAAGCAAAAACUAAAAAGCAAGAGGAAGUCCCCACAUUCCAUGCGACAUGUCGUAUUGAAAUAUGCUUUUAUCUCUUUUAAAAGUUGUUGUGUCGUUCGUCUCGUGGGAAUAGAAAACUAUUAGGAAUAUUUUGGAUAAAAAUCAUUAUAAUUUGGUCCAAAUCUUUUCUAAUCCACAAAAGCAACUUUAGGUUUUGUACUAAUACGAGCCAACCUUUACUAAUUUCUUUUACUAUUUGUUACGAUAGAUUUGGAUUAGAGGGAAAAUUAUCAGAUUAAGUAUUAAAACAUGGGAGUCUAGGUCGAUGUGUUCAAACUAACCUAUUAGGCCUCUUGUUCUUGGCCAAGGACGAUGGAGGCAUGCUCUGGCCUAUUUAGGUCAAAGUUAGAUCAAGAGGAAGUCUCUUCAUUUAAUGAAUGUGGGAUCAUUUGAUUGAGAAUUAACCUAAUAUGACUCGAAAUUCCUCAUAUAUAUAUGAACAACUUAGAUCAGAAUUUCACUAUAAAUACAUUGUUGUGAUGAUUUUAAGAGAAGUAAGUUCAUUUUCAUCCCUAAAAUUCUUGUUACAACCAAAAGCUACUUUUUGACUAAGGUAUUGGAGACGUGAUAAUUUUGUCCAUCAACACUCCCGAUCUUAAACUUAUAAUUACAUAGAACAUAUUGAUAAGGUAUUAAUGUCGGUCAAUAUGGUUUUACAUUGUAAAGAAAUCUAAAAUCAACAAAAUGUUUUGAUUUUUCUCUCGACGAAGAUAUUAGAUACUUAAAAAAAUUAUAUCUAUAAAUUUCAACCCUAAAUUACCAAUAAAACAUACUACACAUGUGAUUUGGUGAAAUCAAGAUUGGCAUCUUGGAUGUUCAAAAACUAAUAUAAAACAAAUUAAGAAAAGUUACCUAUUCAUUUAUAUUUGUUUGUUCUAAAAUAAAUUGAAUUGUUUUUCUAAACUUAACUUUUACACAGAAAACAAUUUUCGUCGAUGAUUAAACAAGAUCUCGAGAAUGAAAAUGAAAUCUACGAUACUUAAAUUCCUACCAACCAAAAAUCCUUUAAAUUAGUAAUGGAAGAAUGAAAUAUGAUCCUCUCAAUUAUUUAAUUAUAUUGACCUUUAUAAAUCACAUUUUUCAUGGCAACAUAUAAUUAUUGAUUCACUUUAGAUACAAUAAUAGUGAAGUUCUUAUUUGUGGAAUGGUAUGAUUGGUCAUAAGGCUAACUUUAAACUUUAACUUUAAUACCAAAAAGUUUCUCUCUCAAGUCUUGGUCUAUUAAAUAUUAUAAAGUAAAAGGACUCAAUUACAAAGUGAUUGCAAUAAGAGAAAAGAUAAAGGGUUUUAAAGCAUAAAAUAAAAAAGACAAGGAAAGAAAAUGGUUUCUUCACUGUAAAUAUUAUCAUUGUUGUCUUCAAUCAUUUGGUCUAUUUCUUCCCCUUCAAUAAUUCAAUACCCAAAUCAAUUACACAAUGUUUUCUAUUCUUAUUUAAUUUCUAACCUACCUUAAACCCGUUUACGCGUUAUAAAAAAUCACUUAAAUGAACUAAAAUUGUACCUAAAUGUUAGUGUGAUUUUGAGGAGAGACCUCGCAACAUGUAUAUAAAGUAUGUAGGUUAAUAUCUCGUAUUUCCAUUGUUCACAAUGUCUAUGAGAUACGUAGACCUUAUGUUGCAUAUGCUUUAAGAAAUUCUUUUCUCUAAAGAUUCAUUUAUUCUCGUAAUGUUUUAGUACAUACUCUUGGAAUUUCAGACAAACAUUUAAUAUAUUGAUUUGUUUUACAAAAUUUUACUUUUUAAAACUUUAAUAUUGUUAUCGAAAGAAACUUUAAAAUCUACCUAACAUGUUAGGAUUAUUUUAUAAAUUAAAAUAAAUUAUUUGUUAACAUUCUAAUUAUUUUUAAAAAAAUAGUAAAAGAUAGGAAAAUUUUCAAAAAUAAUAUAUUUGAGAAAAUAUUUAAUAUUUAGGAUUGAUAUCUUUAUUUCCACAUUAAGAAAAGUUUUAGAUAUUGUAUGAUGGAGUGUAUGUUCAUACAUAAAUAAAAAUUUGUAUAUUUUUAAUCUUUUAUAAAGGAAUGUGUUUUAUCUUUUUUUCUUUUCAAACUUUCCUUUCUAAAAAAGUAUAAGCAUUAAGUAUUAACACUUUUUCUCAAUUCAAAACUCUCCAUUUCAAUCCGCAUAACCAAAAAAGAUUCUUCAAUUCUUUGUCAUGAAAAUCCUUACUCCCUUCUUCGUCUUCUUCUUCCUUCUUCUUCUUCUUCUUCUUCUUCCUCCCUCCACUUCUCAAACUUCUUAUUACGUCCCUGUCGAUAACAUAGCCGUCAAUUGCGGUACCAAAGCCAUCACUGACACCGGCGAUCGAAAAUGGAUCGGCGACGUCGCUACUAAUUACUCCCCAUCCGAACCACCAAACACAGUCAACAAGUCCACCUUCAAGUCCAUUAUCUCAAACACCAUCAGCGACGAGAUCUACAGAACUGUACGCCUCUCUCGCUCUCCCUUCACCUACUCUUUCCCGGUCACUGCCGGCCCCAAAUUCAUCCGUCUCUACUUCUACCCGGAAAAAUACGAAGAAUUUAAUAGAUCCGAUGCCUUCUUCACUGUUCAAGCUGCCCAGUUCACUCUCCUUAAAAACUUCAGCGCUGCCCUCGUCGCUGAUUUCAUCAAUAAAAGCGUCAUCCCAAGAGAAUUUUGUAUCCAUAUCGCCGGAGAAGCACCAAAGUUGAACAUUACCUUCACCCCAUCUCCGAAUUCUUAUGCCUUCGUCAACGGAAUUGAAGUGGUCUCUAUGCCGGAAAACCUCUACUACUCUCCUGCGGAGCAGGGAACGACGACGCCGAUUAUUGGAAACAACAUCGCCCUUGAGCUUUAUCAUCGAAAAAAUCUUGGCGGUGACGACAUCUUUCCGAGUCAAGAUUCCGGCAUGUACCGAAAUUGGGAUGGGACUAAUCUACAUAUAACAACCAAACGAGUUAUCCCAAUACAUAAUGACUCUGUUUCUAUAAACUACACAACGAGCACUCCUAACUUCACAGCCACAGAUUCAGUUUAUCAGUCUGCUCUAAUUCUGGGUGUGAAUCGAACUCUCAAUUCUAAACAAAAUUUAUCGUUUCAAUUGCCCGUUGAUGUCGGGUUCAAUUAUUUGGUACGACUCCAUUUUUGCCAAAUUCUUAUGGAUCAGUUUCAAGGAAAACAGAAGAUUUUCACAGUGUUCAUCAAUAACCAAAAUAUCACCACUGUCGAUAUAGAUUCCAUCAAUACUCCUUUAUACAGAGAUUAUAAUGCACGGCCAAUGGCGGUUGGGAAUACUUCCGCUAUCUUAGUUGAUUUACACCCCUUACCAAGUGAGACCUUCGAUGUGAUUUUGAAUGGAUAUGAAGUGUUCAAACAAAGCAAUGGAACUAAUCUUGCAGUACCAAACCCAGUGGUCGCUCUAGCACCAGAAAUUAAACGGGGAGCCAAAAAUUCAAAUGCAACAGCGAUCAUCGCUGCUGUGUGCAGUAGCGUGGGAUUUGCCAUAUUAUCUUCAAUCGUUGGAUUUGUGGUUAUAUGGAAACAGAGUAAGAAGAUGAGGAAGAGAAGGAAGAAGAAGAAGAAAACAAGAGAGGAUAAGUUGCUGCCGGAACGACGGUGCCGGAUUUUCACCUUCGAAGAGAUUUGUGAAGCGACAGAUUACUUUAGCAAAGAGAGACAGAUAGGAGUCGGAGGAUUUGGUGCGGUUUACAAAGGAAUUUUCGAGGAUGAAGACGAUCUCACCGUCGCAAUCAAACGGUUGAACCCAGAAUCCAACCAAGGCGAACAAGAAUUCGUAACAGAGAUUGAAUUGUUAUCGGAGCUCCGUCACUUCAACCUUGUAUCUCUCAUCGGAUAUUGCUUGGAAAACAAGGAAAUGUUGCUAGUUUACGAAUAUAUGCCAAACGGAACAUUCAAAGAUCAUCUCUACGACACCUCGAAUUCUCUUCUAUCAUGGAGGAAGCGCCUAGAAAUCUGCGUUGGGGCAGCACGUGGUUUAGACUACCUACACUCCGGAUUCGAUCGACCCAUCAUCCACCGCGACGUGAAGACUACGAAUAUCCUUCUAGACGAAAAUUGGGUUGCAAGAGUUUCCGAUUUCGGGAUGUCGAAAUUGGGGCAAACCAACACGGCAGUCAGCACGGCAGUGAAAGGAACUUGGGGCUAUUUAGACCCGGAAUAUCAUCGACGUCUGAAAGUGACAGAAAAAUCCGACGUAUUCUCAUUUGGGGUCAUCUUGUUCGAAGUGCUGUGUGGGAGAAAACCAUUGGACCCGCUUGCCGGUGAAGAGAAGUUCAAGCUUACGCUAUGGGCUAAGAAAUGCUUGGAGAAAGGGAAUGCUUAUGAAAUUAUCGAUCCGCAUUUAAAAGGGAAGAUUUCAUGUGAUUGUUUAAAGCAAUACUUGGAAUUGGCGACAACGUGUAUCAACGAUCAUUCAAAGCAUCGGCCGAGAAUGGAGGUGGUGGAGGAGAAAUUAAGGUUCAUCUUGAAGCUGCAAGAGGAAGCAGAUGGGGAUUGUCCGGACACGGAAUUGAGUUAUCCAGAGGAGCCAUUUUCGCCGAUAAGGUCAUCAGGAGGUUCUCUACGGACUGAGUCGUAUAAAAGCCACAUCGCCACCAUGCUCAGCGGCUCCGAUUUCACGGUAUCGUCGCUUAUGAGUGAAGAAAUGUUAAGUGAACAGAGCUCCGGUUCUAUGGCGUAUUCUCGGAAGACAUAAUUUAUUUCUUAAAAAAAAAAUCCUUUUUGUUCUUCUUUUUCUUUUUAUAAUUUUAUUUAAAAUACCGUUUUAGCGGUUAGGUUUUGAAAAUAACGUUAUAGUUUGGAGUUGGUUUAGUUCUUAAAGCACUUAUGCUUUGAACUAAAAGUAAUGAAUAUAUAUAAACUAGUCUCUGUAAAUUUUACAAACGUAAUGUAUGUUUGUUGUGGAUUUUAUUUAAUUUUGAUUGCCAUACAUAUGACUUGAUUAAUAAAUUAAAUAUAUAUAUGAUUGUUAAAACAAUUGGUUGAAAGGGUAAUCUAAUAGUGAAGUUUUUAUCCGUGGAAUGGUAGGAUUGGACAUACAUCGUCUACCUAAUUAGGCCUUAUUCUUUUAACUUUAACUUUACUACCAAGAAGUCCCACAUACAAUUCUUGGUCUAUUAAAUUUUUAAAAGUAAAAGGGUCGGACUCUAUUGGCUUAUUAAGAGAAAACACAAAAGGGUUUUAAAGCAUAAAAAAGAAAGAGAAAAGGGAAAGAAAAUGGUUUCUUCACUCUAAAUAUUAUCAUUGUUGUCCUCAAUCAUUUGAUCCACUUCUUCCCCUUCAAUAAUUCAAUACCCAAAUCAAUUACAUAUGCUUUCUAUUCUUAACUAUAUUCUCACCUACCUAACCCUAAAACAAAAAUGUGCUAUCCAAACUAAUAAAAUGGUUAAACACUAAGAAAACUUUUAAAUAUUAUAUGUUAGUGUAUGUUCAUGAAGAAAUAAAAGUUUGAAUCUUAUUAAUUUUUUUAAGAAAAGAAUGUGUUUUAUCUUUUUUUUUUCUUUUCAAACUUUCCUUUACUUUUUAAAAGUAUAUAUUCAUUUCAAAACUCUCUAUUUCAAUCUGCAUAAGAAACAAAACAUUAUUUUUUCUUUAAAAAGAAUCUUCAAUUGUUUGCCAUGAAAAUCCUUACUCCCUUCUUCCUCUUCUUCUUCCUUCUUCUUCUUCUUACUCCCUCCACUGCUUAUCAAAGUUCUUAUUACAUCCCAGUCGAUAACAUCGCCGUCGACUGCGGCGGCAUCUCUGCCUUCACUGACACCGGCGAUCGAAAAUGGACCGGCGACGUCGCUACUAAUUUCUCCCCAUCUGAACCACCAAACACAGUCAACAAGUCAAUGGUAAAGUCCAGUAAUUCAAACACCAACAACGACCCUCUCUACAAAACGGUACGCCUCUCUCGCUCUCCCUUCACCUACUCUUUCCCGGUCACUCCCGGCCCCAAAUUCAUCCGUCUUUACUUCCUGCCGGAAAAUUUCGACGAAUUUCAUAGAUUCGACGCCUUCUUCACUGUUCAAGCUGCUCAGUUCACUCUCCUUAAAAACUUCAGAGCCUCACUUGUCGCUGAUUUCUCCAAUAAAAGCUUCAUCGCAAGAGAAUUUUGUAUUCAUGUCCCGGGACAAGCAUCAAAAUUGAACAUUACCUUCACCCCAUCUCUGGAUUCUUAUGCCUUCGUCAACGGAAUUGAAGUGGUCUCCAUGCCGGAAAACCUCUACUACUCUCCUGUGAAACAAGGAAGGACGACGCCGGUUAUUGGAAACAAUAUCGCCCUCGAGCUUUAUCAUCGGAAAAAUCUCGGCGGUGAAGACGUCCUUCCGAGUCAAGAUUCCGGCAUGUACCGAAAUUGGGAUGGGAGUAACCUAUAUAUAACCACCAAACAAGUUAUCCCAAUACAAAAUGACUCUGUUUCUAUAAACUACACAACGACCACUCCAAACUUCACAGCUACAGAUUCAGUUUACCAGUCCGCUAUAAUUUUGGGUACGAAUCGAACUCUCAAUUCUAAACAAAAUUUUUCGUUGAAAUUGCCCGUUGAUUUCGGGUUCAAUUAUUUGGUACGACUCCAUUUUUGCCAAAUUCAUAUGGAUCGGUUCCAAGAAAAAGAGAGAAUUUUCACUGUGUUCAUCAAUAACCGAAAUAUAGCCGUUGUCGAUAUAGAUUCCGUCAAUACUCCUUUUUACAAAGAUUAUAAUGUACCAAUGGCGACUGGGAAUACUCCAUUUAUCUUACUGGAUUUACACCCCUUACCAAGUGAGAGCUUCGAUGUGAUUUUGAAUGGAUAUGAAGUGUUCAAACAGAGCAAUGGAACUAAUCUUGCUGUACCAAACCCAGUGGUCGCUCUAGCACCGGAAGUUAAACGGGUAGCCAAAAAUUCAAAUGCAACAGCGAUCAUCGCUGGCGUGUGCAGUAGCAUGGGAUUUGCCAUAUUGGUUUCAAUCGUUGGAUUUGUGGUUAUAUGGAAACAGAGUAAGAAGAAAACGAAGAAAAGGAAGAAGAAGAAGAAAACAAGAGAGGAUAAUUGGCUACCGGAACGACGGUGCCGAAUUUUCACCUUUAAAGAGAUUUGUAAAGCGACAGAUAACUUCAGUAAAGAGAGAGAGAUAAAAGUUCACAGAGGAUUAAGUGUCAUUUACAAAGGAAUUUUCGAGGAUGAAGGCGAUCUCACUGUCGCAAUCAAACGGUUGAAAGACCUCCCGGAAUCGAACGUAGGGGAACAAGAAUUCGUAAGAGAGAUUGAAGUGUUAUCAGAGAUUCGUCACUUGAACCUUGUAUCUCUCAUUGGAUAUUGCUUGGAAAACCAGGAAAUGUUUAUAGUUUACGAAUUUAUGGUAAACGGAACAUUCAGAGAUCAUCUCUACGGUACAUCAAAUUUUCUUCUGCCAUGGAGGAAGCGCCUAGAAGUCUGCAUUGGAGCGGCGUGUGGUUUAAACUACCUACACACUGGAUUCGAGCGACCCAUCAUCCACCGGGACGUCAAUACAACAAAUAUCCUUUUAGACGAAAAUUGGGUUGCAAGAGUUUCUGAUUUAGGGAUGUCGAAAUUGGGGAAAACUAACAUGGCAGUCAGCGCGGUGGUGAAAGGAACUUAUGGUUAUAUAGACCCGGAAUAUUUCAAUAAUAAGACAGUGACAGAAAAAUCUGACGUAUACUCAUUUGGGGUCAUCUUGUUGGAAGUGAUCUGUGGGAGAAAACCAUUGGAACGGCUUGCUGGUGGGGAGUGGUUCGGCCUUGUGGUAUGGGUUUUGGAAUGCUUGGAGAAUGGGAAUGUUUAUGAAAUUAUGGAUCCGAAUUUAAAAGGGAAGAUUACAUAUGAUUGUUUUAAGCAAUACUUGGAAUUGGCGAUAACAUGUAUCAACCAACAUUCAAAGCAUCGACCGAGAAUGAAGGAGGUGGAGGAGAAAUUAAGGUUGAUCUUGAAGCUGCAAGAGGAAGCAGAAGCAGAAGCAGAAGCAGAAGGGGAUAUUUCCAACGGUGAUUAGAGUUAUCCAUAGGAGCCAUUUUGGCUGAUAAAGGCAGUAGGGCAUUUCCUUUUUACAAAACACAAAAACUGCUAUUUACAUUUGUAAUGGACUUGUGUUUAUUCGCUUAUGACUGAAGAAAUGCUAAGUGAACAAAACAUUCGGAUAUGCUAUGUGGCCUAUUUGAUCAGAAGACAUAAUUUGUUUUUCAAAAGUUCCUUUUUAUAAUUUUCUUUAGCCAUUAGGUUUUGGAAAUAAGGUUAUAGUUUGGAGAUGGUGUAGCUAUUAAAUCACUUAGUGCUUUAAAGAAAAAGUAAUGAAUGUAAAUUAGGUUUUGUAAAAUUUCAACUUUUUCCCUAACUUAGAUCACUUUAACUAAAAUUUUAAUUUAAAAUGUCAAAUUCUCAGCUCCUACUUAAAACCUAACAUGUGUAAAAUUAAUAUUUAUCUUAAAUCCUUAAUCUUACACGUUAACGCCUUUCAAAUAUCAGAUUUGAUAUUUUUUCGUCAAACCUUUCUUCUCGCCUAAUUCCAUUUGGCAAAUAGCUUUAACUCCUUAACAUAACUUCCAAAUGUCUCUUAACGCGUAACUCUUCUCGCGGACUACCCAACUUUAUCGCGAAGACUCUUUCUCAGUUAAACACCUAGACUUCAUAGAUCUUAUCGCAAAUCCUUAUUUUCUCAAAGUUUCCUUGCAAACUAACCUCUUAAUCACGUAGACUGACCAAAAUGCUCUUGUCUAAAUCGGAAAAAUUGAAUACCUGAGCAAAUUUUACUUCUUAUACUCAAAUUAGAAGCACGUCUCACAAACCGAUAGCACAUUUUUCAUAUUGAAAACUAUCACUUAUAGAAAAACUACUAAUAACAGCUAUUUAUGAUAACGAUUGAUUGCACAUUUCUCAAAUUUAAAGUUAUCAUAGAUAGUAGUUGUCGAUCAUAUAUAUAAUUCAAAUAAAAGUCAUUCUUAAAGCAACUGAUAACAAUUAUCAAUUAUCAAUUUUAUGCUACAUACCAAAAUUAUUUUAUCCUUGUCUUAAAAGUUAUUUAUGCAACAAAUCCUUGCAGUACUUAAGUCUCAAACUAAUAAUACUUCCUUCAUUGAUUUGAUUCCCUUCUUAUUACAAAUUUUAUUGUUUUGCAUCAACUGUUUGACGUUAUUUAGCUUAAAAGAAAAACUACUCUCUACAUUUGUAUAGACUAUAUCUAGAAAAACAAAAAUAACGAAACCAUCGCUUGGACUAAUGACUUAAAUGUUUCAACAAGAUUACACUCUACCAUAAUUGAGUAUGUGUUAAUACAUAUACAUUGUUUCAAUUUAAUACAUGAAAUUGAGACGUGUGGAUCAUAAUUAAAUUUAUGGAGAUGAAAACUCUGUCAAUCGUGUUUGUAAUUCAAGUUACUCUAUUUAUCAUAACGAAUUGUUAAAACAUUAUUGGUUGAAUUUUACCGUGGGAUAUG
This 10919-nucleotide long non-coding RNA is filed under the name Cucumis sativus (cucumber). RNAcentral describes it as "long non-coding RNA (CSAT_LNC002139)". The record is from RNAcentral. Lineage: Eukaryota; Viridiplantae; Streptophyta; Magnoliopsida; Cucurbitales; Cucurbitaceae.